RNAcentral lists this long non-coding RNA (3103 nucleotides) under Anolis carolinensis (green anole). Its description in RNAcentral is "lncRNA (ENSACAG00000041326.1)". The record is from RNAcentral. Lineage: Eukaryota; Metazoa; Chordata; Lepidosauria; Squamata; Anolidae.
UGUCAGCAAAGUGUAAACACAAGCCAUUUACUAAAAAUUGUUUUACAUAUUACUUACUAUACCAAGCCAUCUUGUAAAUGCAAACUAUUACUCCACUUCAGAGAAUAUCAAAUCAGGUGUUGCCAACUCCCUUUUUCUUAGAGAGUUUCUUUGUUUCUGCACCUUCAUAGUUCUUACAGCCUACCAGGCACAUUUUUAGCAGGUGACCCUUUGAGUAGAGUUUCACCUGCUUUCUUUCUCCCUCUCAGACAAAAAUUAAGUGAAACAGACAGUUUCUAAUUCCAGAAAAUUAUGAUGAAUAAACAAAUUAGAGCGGGUCAAUGAAGUGCUUAUAUACAGUUGUCAAAUGCAUUGAAAAAGUGUAUGAAGACUUUCAGCUCAAUCCUAUUUACAUAAGGAGUGCUGCAACUAGGAAGAAAGGGAGAAGCUAUCUCAUAUCUUUUCAGAUCCCGCUACUUAAGCUGGAAUACACAACACUUGAGCUGGCGAAUGAGGAGAUGAUGCCCCUCCCCACCAGUUUCUCUUAACCGUGGUCUUUAGGAAUUGCUGCACAACAGGAUUUAUUUCCAAGGGGUGUCUCUACAACUGAUUGAUCAUCCGCUCUGACCAAUCCCCGUCUGCCAUUCUCCCUGCCAAGGAAAUCCCCAGUGACAUCAACUGAACUCUCAGCCAAUCCCGGUGAAGAUUGGGUGAAGAUUCCUGACCAGCCUCUUUGCCAACCAAUCAGGGGAGGGAGCAGGAAUUCUGAAUGGUUUCAGAACUGUAUAUGAACUGUAUAAGAUGUCUUGCAUUUCUCUCUAUCUUUAUCCUUGCACCUUUGGAAGCAAAUUGCUUUUACUUGCAUACCUUUUGGCCGAAUCGUAAUAAACCUCUGUGGCUUGUCUUCAACCUGGUGAGUUGGUUUCUCUGUCCUAGCCUAUCUGCUCACCAGGCACAGACUCUCUAACUGCAGUCCUAGGAAAAUCACUAUAGUUCCAAGGACUAAUUAUUACACACCUGUUUUAUUAAUGUAACAUCUAUUAGGAAUGAAAAUAUCACAAUUUUUCCAAAUAGUUCUCAAAAGACCCACCACAUCAUCUAGAAUCCAGUCCUUGAUACUAACGAAGCCUCCAACCCUGAAAUGAAUUCCUGAGAAGACGAUCCUCAAUUCCUACACUGAAUGACAAACCAAUUGAGAAUAAUGCCAAUUAUAGAAAUAACAAGCUUGCUUCACCAUGGACAUCCACUUCCCAAGCACACUUAUGAUGGAAUUAAAAAUGGCUAAUUCUGUGGAACUACAGUACUUUGAUUGUGAUGAAGUAGCAUCCCAUGCAGACAAUUCUCAAGAUUCGCAAACUUUCCAUACCAUCAGAAUGCAUCCAGGCAUACAAACAGGUUUGGAUGGUAUAUAGGUCCUUGUGGUGUAGCCUUAUAACACCAGAUCAUGUUAGACCUUUGCCCUAAGCAGUUCUCCUCACACAGUGCUCUUCAAAAGAGUUGAAAUGCAAAUCCCAUUGAAGUUGAUAAGCUAGGACCAUGGAUAAAAGAAUCUGUGCCCAUCGAGCAUAAGCUAAACUGAAUGGGUCAGGACAGAAAAACACUCACCAAGCUAAUGUCCUUGGUUUCAAUAUGACCCUUGCUUGAACUGCUCCUCUGGCAAACCCUAGAUGUCAAUAGUAUGGGAUGGGGGAUCUUACUAUUAUGUGGGAACAACCUCUUUAAAACUAUAAAUACCUUGUCUCCAGUCUCAAAGCCUUCAUGAUUCAGCACUUCUGUAAAUAAUUUACAAUAUGAUAAAAGAGAGAGGUUUUAGUGGGAUGAAAAUGAAGCUAGUUGUUGCAAUGUGAGGGCAGCUGUUAGGUAAAUUAUGAUGAAACAGGUCAGCUUAAUCCUACUACUGAAGGGGGGAAAUAAGCUUCUAUCUGAAAAAGAAAGAGAGAAAAAAAAUCUCAACAUUGAGUCACUGUUUAAUAAACUGAACAUUACUCACUAAGGCUCAGAUAAUAAAAAUAAUGCCUGAUGCGUUUAUACUGGGUCUAGAAGAAGAGCCACAGAACUGUGUUUUGUUUGUGUUUCUUUGAAAAACUCUCUGCCACAGAGGAGUCAUUAAAAAUGAACAUUAACAAAAGGCUCAAGAUGAAUUGUUGAUGUAACCUUCCUAACCCUCUCUUCUGCUCCCACACCCGCACCUCAGACUCACUAAAACCCUCAUUACAAAAGUCGGGGGACAGAUUCCCAGCUUAAAUAGUUUUACAUUGUGAAUCCAAGUGAAUGUGCAAAUUAUUAUGUUUUCUCCUUUCAAUUUUCCAGUUUUACAAAUCCUGAAGAACAGAUGACAGCAUAUAUAACCAGAGCCUGGGAAAAACUUUUCCAAAUGUCGGACACAGCAUUACAUUCUUCAGUGCUCACACACCCAUGUUCCAAAGUGCUAUCCCACAUUCUGCAUGUUCUUUCAAAGACAGGUCACAUUGGGUGAAUGAAUAGAAGUCUGGUUCCACACUCAGGAUACAUUUAUACUGAAUUAAUGCAGUUUUAUAGCACUUUAACUACCAUGGCUCAAUGCUACAGAAUCCUGGGAUUUGUAGUUUGGUGAGUCAAUAACAUCUUGUAGCAGAAAAGGCUAAACACCUUGCAACACUACAGCUUUCAUGAUUCCAUAGCAUUGAGCUAUGGCAGUUAAAUUUGUGCCAACUUGCAUUCAUUCUACAGUGUAGUUCCAACCACGGUGUUUGAAUGUUUACUUGCUUCGCCGUUAGGGAAAUUUUUGAUUUUGGAGUAUUUCAGCCUGAAGUAUUUUGGAUUUCCAAAUAAGUGAAGCUCGAACCUCUUGAUUUCUUUAGCAUCUGGAAAUGUUACACCAGAGCUGUUGCACUACUCAGCAAGGGAACUGAUGGUACUAAAUAGUACAAAAGAUUUGUUUUCCAUGCUAUAACCCCAACUCCUUUCAAUAUUGGUUACAUUUUUAUACCAAUGCAUUGUGCUUCAUCAUUCCAGGAAGCAUUUGCCUCCUAGAUUUAAUUCAAGACAUUUUAUUCCAACAAACAAAGUGAUUCUAUCCUUUAAAGCCAAUCUGAAAAUCUGUACAGUCUCCCCAUAUUCUGAAGCAUUUCAAAGAGGAAAAUCU